GAUGAAGAACGUAUCGAAAUGCGAUACGUAGCGUGAAUUGCAGAAUUCAGUGAAUCAUCGAAUCUUUGAACGCACAUUGCACCUCUCGGUAUUCCGGGAGGUAUGCCUGUUCGAGCGUCAUUUGUACCCUCAAGCUCUGCUUGGUGUUGGGUGUUUGUUCCGCCUCUGUGUGUGAACUCGCCUCAAAACAAUUGGCAGCCGGCGUACUUGUUUCGGAGCGCAGCACAUUUUGCGAUCCAGAUCAACGUACAGCGGCAUCCAAGAAGCCUUAUUUAACGCUCUUGACCUCGGAUCAGGUAGGGAUACCCGCUGAACUUAAGCAUAUCAAUUAGCGGAGGA
RNAcentral lists this unclassified non-coding RNA (339 nucleotides) under soil metagenome. RNAcentral describes it as "partial contains 5.8S ribosomal RNA, internal transcribed spacer 2, and large subunit ribosomal RNA". The stretch from base 1 to 120 matches the Rfam family "5.8S ribosomal RNA", at positions 35 to 154 of the family's 154-position model. The record is from RNAcentral.